GAAGCCAAAUAAAGCGCAUGCUGUGUACAGAGGGUGUCGAGAAUGCCUCCUACGUGACGGAAAGCAGAUCCGUGGUUCCCUGCAGACUGGCAGGAGCAGAUUCCAAAGGCACAGGAAGAAGCUUGCAGGUUUCCUUAAUGACAACAAAAAAGGGAGUAAUCCUACCCACUGUAAGAGUCAUGACUCUUGAUUGCAGCUGACAGAAACUCAUGACAGCCUGCUUUAGAUGAAGGGGGAGAGAAGGACUGGAAGAAUCUUGGAGUUGGGAAUGUCACACGUAAUUGAAGGAAGAACAAGAAAACUAUAGCAGCUGCUCCCAACCCCAGAACCUUUGCUGUCUUGGGACGGAUCACCACUGCAAGAGGGGAAGUUGCUACUGUGAUGAAUUCUGCCAUGUGGCACCAGACUGCCACCCAGACCACAGUGUCCUCUGCAACCCUGGUAACUCACAUACAGGCCCGAUUCCACCGACAGCAAAGCUGGAUGCUAUGGCUGGCAGAGGCAAACCCUUUGCCUGCACUUCAGGCCAAAGCCGGGAUGUGGCCUAGAUGGUUCCUAAGGUCCCUGACAAUCCUGAGAUCUUGCAUCUUGUCUAUUUCAGGUCAAAGCUUCUCAGAUGACCAAGAUGGUGCUGCAGAUGGUGCUGAGGAUGGAGAACCCACCAAGCCC
RNAcentral lists this unclassified non-coding RNA (669 nucleotides) under Homo sapiens (human). RNAcentral describes it as "MUC20 overlapping transcript (ENSG00000280993.2)". The record is from RNAcentral. Lineage: Eukaryota; Metazoa; Chordata; Mammalia; Primates; Hominidae.